UUUUGAUUGGCAGCACUGUAUUGACGCUUGUGAAAAGUGAAAAAUAUUAUUUGCAAGAAAGAAAAACAAUAAUUUUGCGAUGGAAACAAGUUUAGAUGAUAGCAUGGAUGGUGAACAUUCAAGUCCAAGUCCAGAGGAUUCACUGAGUCGUUCGCCACCCUCAAUAAACGGCAAGUCUGGUGGUGUCGGCGUUAACGUUAGUGCAGGGGGUGGGGGCGGUAGUGGUCCAAAUGGGGUUUCCAUUGGCAACGAAAAAACUACUUCUAACCAGAGUACAUGGAAUAAACCAUUUAACGCAUUUAGCGGGCGGCCAAUGGGAGACCGUACUCAAAUGCAACAUCAGCAAGCCGGACAGCAUUCAGCAUUAAGCCAACCGUCUUCGAGCGCUAAUGGACUCACAUCGACACAAGAGAUUUGGGUAGAAACAAAAGCUGAAGAUGGCCGUUCGUACUACUAUCAUGCCGUAACACGCGAAACCACCUGGACACGACCAGAAGGACAAAAUAUUAAGAUAAUGACACAAUCAGAAGUUGAGGAGCUGGCAAAGCGACCAUCAAAUGCUGCUCAAAAGACAGAUUCUGAACGUGCUGAUGCCGUUGCACCGGCUUCUGGGGCUGGACCUGCGCAUUUGACUUCACAGCCACCACCACAUUUACUGAACCAGCCCCCACCCAACGCAGCAACGUCUCUACUGAAUCAACCGCCACCAAACGUGCAACGGCAGCCACCUCCAAUGUUCCAGCAGCCACCUGGCAUGCAGGCGCCCCCUGGUUUUGGUCAGCCGCCUCCAUUUUGCAUGCCACCACCUGCUUUCCAGCACGGCUUUCCAGGCUCAGCUCCUGCUGGUCCCUGGGGUGUAGGAGUUCCGCCUUGGCAACAGCAGCAUAUGCAUGCACCGCCCGUUGCAUCACAGGAUAAACCUGCCAAGACUUUGAUAAUCAAGCCCGGCGUCAUUGACCCAGCAGUGAUUGCACGCGCAGCUGAAUGGUCUGAGCAUCGUGCUCCAGAUGGUCGACCCUAUUAUUUUCAUGCUGGACGAGGCGAAAGCGUGUGGGAGAAACCGCAGGCUUUGCGUGAUAUGGAAGCCGCGCGCAUGGCAGCUCAUUCAGGCGCCGCACCGCAGACAGCGUCCGCUGCUGCCCCAAAUGGCAUGCCGCCGCAUUUGCUGCCCAAUCCGUUGAUGCAUCUGCCACCCGGCGGUGCAACCGGAUUUGAUCAACAAAUGGCAUUUGCGGCUGCCGCCGCGGCUAUGAAGGCCAACACUGAAAACAGCAAAGCAGCACAGGCUGCUGCUCUAGAAAGCGAGGCCAAAAAAAAAGUUGAAGAGAAGCGAAAGAAGGAUGAAGAACAUCAUAAGAAGCUGGCAGCAACUGCAAGACAGACGGAUAAAUCACGUCCAGUUACCAGCACUCCUAUCGCGGGCACACCUUGGUGUGUGGUAUGGACUGGAGAUGCACGUGUCUUUUUCUAUAACCCAUCAACGCGUACUUCUGUCUGGGAGCGACCCGAGGAUCUGAUGAAUCGCGAGGAUGUUGACAAAGCGGUUAAUGAUCGGCCCGAACAGCUUAAAACGCCUGAGGAGAAAUCGACGGAGGCGGAGCAAAAGACAACCGCCAAUGCUAAUACCAACGUCAGCGCCGUUGCUCAAGAUCAGUCUGCGCCAGGACACGAAGCCCUGCAGGUACAGCAGGUACAGGUGGGUGAAGAUGAGGAUGAUGAAGUCAUCAAAAUUCGCACCGAGUCCGAGUCCAGCGUUGAGGAAGUGCCCACAAAGCGUGUGCGUACAUUUACAAAAGCCAAGAAGAAUGAGGACGCUGUGUUGGAGGCUGAACAGCGUGCGGCCAAAGAGCGCGCCUUGGUGCCAUUGGAGACGCGUGUGACGCAAUUCAAGGAGAUGCUGCGUGAGAAGGAUGUGUCAGCGUUUAGCACCUGGGAGAAGGAGCUGCAUAAGAUUGUCUUUGAUCCACGCUAUCUGCUGCUGACAUCAAAAGAGCGUAAACAGGUAUUUGAAAAAUAUGUCAAGGAUCGUGCAGAGGAGGAGCGCAAGGAGAAGCGCAACAAAAUGCGCCAGAAGCGUGACGAUUUUCGCAAACUCAUGGAAGAGGCCAAGCUGCACGGCAAAUCUUCGUUCUCUGAGUUUAGUCAGCGCAAUGCCAAGGAUGAGCGCUAUCGCGCCAUUGAGAAGGUUCGGGAGCGCGAGAGUCUGUUCAAUGAGUACAUCGUUGAGGUGCGUCGUCGCGAAAAGGAGGAUAAACAGCUGAGAAAAGAGCAGGUAUGUGCUGGUGUCGGCAUUUGUUCUUGGGCGUACACUUACGUAUUUGUAUCUUCAUAUACCAUAUAUUCUAUAUUUCUAUAUAUGUUAUCACAUUACUUGUAUACAGAGUAUUUAAAUAAUGUUAUUGAUUUUUGGUUAAUUUAAAAAAACAAAACAAAACCUGAUACUAUCCAACGAAACUAUAUACCUGAUUUGAACGAUUGCCCCUGACAUAAUGCAAAUAUGGUGUUCGGGCUUGAGAGUUCGGUUAAACAUUUUAGCAACUACUACUACGAGCUAUGAGAUUACAGCACAAUUGCACCAACAAAUUUACACACAGCCGCCGUCGUCGUCAUCGUCAUCUUCGCCUGCUUGUUGUCGUCAUGGUCCCAGUUCCUGGCCCAAGUUGAUAGCUCAAGUUCACCACGCACACGCUUGCAAACUGUUUGUGUGGUAUGCAAAAAUUGAAAAUUACCUGAUAAUCGGUGUAAUUUCCACUUCCCGCCCCGCCCUGCGUGUCGUUGACGUGUCGCCUAGGAACGUGUGAUGUUUGAUGAUGAUGUUAUUGACGAGUUAAUAAACAUUGGGAUGUUUUCAUGUUGGAUGUACAUAUUAAGCAUGGAAGCCGCAACAUCAACAAGAACAACAACAACAUCAGCUGGCGCCAUAACAACAUCAACAACAACAACAAAACUUGUGCAGGUGGCAACAAGGCUGAAAGCAAACAGUAUGAAUAAUACAUAAUUUAAUUAACUCAAAUAUUUUGUUUUUGUUUCAUCAAAGUUGUAACCGGCAGAUGUUUAAAGAUAGCCCUGAGCCAUAGCAAAGUCCAAACCAAAGCCUGUGGCGAGCAAUUAAAAACUCAAACGAAAACUCGCUCAAGCUUCAGACACUGGCAUUCGCCAUUGAAUGUCUCUCUCAAUAUUUCUCUCCUAUUUCUAACAUACACAAAACUUACUUUAUACUAUGUAUUCUACAUAAGUUAAUUUAUUUAUUUAUUUAUGGCACUUCGGCAAAAGCUGAAGCAUUUUCCUUGGCUUAAAAUAGCGAUCGAGACAAUGACAAAUAAUUCGUUUAGCACUGUUUGUCCGUUGCUUUAUGCAAAUGUUUCAAAAUAUAUAUUAAAUAUUUUUCAAAUCCAUUUUAUUCAAGCUUUAAUGUUCUAGCUCUCUCUCUCUCUCUCUCUCUCUGUGUUUUGUCUGUUUGUCUGACAGUUUUGUUUUAAAUUUGCAUUUCUCUAUCGCUUCGCUAGGCCAGCCAUUAAUCAAUCAGUUCUAUUUCAGUUAAACAAACAUUCUUUUUCAGCAACUCAAAGCGUGUAACUAUAUUUAUUAAUUUAUAAGCACCUUAGCUCAUAAGCCAAUGUCAAGUUAAAUUUAAGUUGUAGCAUUUUAAGUGAAGUGCCCAUCAGUACCAAGAAUAUAACUAAUUCGAGUUUCUCAACCACUUUCUCUUCUCUUCCGCAUGGCUGUCAUGUUGAAAUUCCUUUUUGAAACUUUAGAUACGCAAAGACUUC
This is an RNA transcript of Drosophila busckii, 3770 nucleotides long. It is a transcript of the gene named transcription elongation regulator 1, with no coding region annotated. The transcript has 5 exons. The record is from RefSeq and is a predicted model, not a curated record. Lineage: Eukaryota; Metazoa; Arthropoda; Insecta; Diptera; Drosophilidae.